CAUGCAAGUCGAACGAAGAGCGACGGAAGCUUGCUUCUAUCAAUCUUAGUGGCGAACGGGUGAGUAACGCGUAAUCAACCUGCCCUUCAGAGGGGGACAACAGUUGGAAACGACUGCUAAUACCGCAUACGAUCUAAUCUCGGCAUCGAGGAUAGAUGAAAGGUGGCCUCUACAUGUAAGCUAUCACUGAAGGAGGGGAUUGCGUCUGAUUAGCUAGUUGGAGGGGUAACGGCCCACCAAGGCGAUGAUCAGUAGCCGGUCUGAGAGGAUGAACGGCCACAUUGGGACUGAGACACGGCCCAGACUCCUACGGGAGGCAGCAGUGGGGAAUCUUCCGCAAUGGACGAAAGUCUGACGAGCAACGCCGCGUGAGUGAUGACGGCCUUCGGGUUGUAAAGCUCUGUUAAUCGGGACGAAAGGCCUUC
RNAcentral lists this ribosomal RNA (425 nucleotides) under Veillonella parvula. RNAcentral's name for it is "bacterial SSU rRNA". It matches the Rfam family "Bacterial small subunit ribosomal RNA", at positions 54 to 457 of the family's 1533-position model. Lineage: Bacteria; Bacillati; Bacillota; Negativicutes; Veillonellales; Veillonellaceae. The record is from RNAcentral.